This 315-nucleotide ribosomal RNA is filed under the name uncultured eukaryote. RNAcentral describes it as "partial 18S ribosomal RNA". It matches the Rfam family "Eukaryotic small subunit ribosomal RNA", at positions 1470 to 1796 of the family's 1831-position model. The record is from RNAcentral.
CCCUUAGACGCUCUGGGCCGCACGCGCGCUACACUGACCAGUGCAACAAGCAUCCGUCCUUGGCCGACAGGCCCGGGCAAUCUUUGAACGCUGGUCGUGAUGGGGAUAGACUUUUGCAAUUUUUGGUCUUCAACGAGGAAUUCCUAGUAAACGCAAGUCAUCAACUUGCAUUGAUUACGUCCCUGCCCUUUGUACACACCGCCCGUCGCACCUACCGAUUGAAUGGUCCGGUGAAGCCUCCGGAUUGGCGCGCACCUCGGUGCCGCCGAGAAGUUGGCUAAACCUUACCAUUUAGAGGAAGGUGAAGUCGUAACA